RNAcentral lists this unclassified non-coding RNA (345 nucleotides) under soil metagenome. Its description in RNAcentral is "partial contains 5.8S ribosomal RNA, internal transcribed spacer 2, and large subunit ribosomal RNA". The stretch from base 1 to 120 matches the Rfam family "5.8S ribosomal RNA", at positions 35 to 154 of the family's 154-position model. The record is from RNAcentral.
GAUGAAGAACGCAGCGAAAUGCGAUACGUAAUGUGAAUUGCAGAAUUCAGUGAAUCAUCGAGUCUUUGAACGCACAUUGCGCCCUCUGGUAUUCCGGAGGGCAUGCCUGUCCGAGCGUCAUUGCUGCCCUCAAGCACGGCUUGUGUGUUGGGCUCCGUCCCCCGGUCCCGGGGGACGGGCCCGAAAGGCAGCGGCGGCACCGCGUCCGGUCCUCGAGCGUAUGGGGCUUUGUCACCCGCUCUGUAGGCCCGGCCGGCGCUUGCCGAUCAACCAAAUUUUUAUCCAGGUUGACCUCGGAUCAGGUAGGGAUACCCGCUGAACUUAAGCAUAUCAAUAAGCGGAGGA